GGUAGUUUAGUGUAGUGCUUAUCACAUUCACCUCACAUGCGAAAGGCCCCUUGUUUGAAACCUGGCAGAAACA
This is a non-coding RNA of Ameiurus melas (black bullhead), 73 nucleotides long. NCBI's taxonomy places the organism in Eukaryota, Metazoa, Chordata, Actinopteri, Siluriformes, Ictaluridae. The record is from the annotation of a GenBank genome assembly.